GGAUGCGAUCAUACCAGCACUAAUGCACCGGAUCCCAUCAGAACUCCGAAGUCAAGCGUGCUUGGGCGAGAGUAGUACUAGGAUGGGUGACCCCCUGGGAAGUCCUCGUGUUGCAUCCC
Ipomoea nil (Japanese morning glory) is the source of this 119-nucleotide ribosomal RNA. The record is from Rfam. Lineage: Eukaryota; Viridiplantae; Streptophyta; Magnoliopsida; Solanales; Convolvulaceae.